UGCAGGUAUCACUAAGAUGAGAUUUGAGCACCUAAAUCAAUGCUGAAGACACACAGAAUAUUGAAGGAUCAACUCUACUUCUUCGAAAUAUACUUUAAUACUUUCACUGCCAAACCAGAGUUCAAGAAAUAACUGCGGUGGAAUGAUAAUGAGAAGUUUAACAGUUUUAUGAUGGUUGAAGCUGACUUUAUGAAAGUUGAUAAAUUUCAUCUUGUAGGUUUCAAUUUCUCAUUCCCUACCGAGAGAUGGGGAGAAUACAUUGACACUGCAUUUCAAAUUGGCUAGAUCAGAAGGAACAGCAGCUAAAAUCCAUUACAACCCAAUUACAUCCAUCAGCUGAAGCUGUGUGCAUUCACUUGUGAACAUCAGCAUUUAAUCCAUAAAGAGGAACUAAUGAGAAAUUUGAAAAUGGAAUCCACGCAUCAGUAAGUUUAGAGAGAUUUUUCUGGGAUUAAUGAUCUGCCAGAGCAUCUUCAGCAUUCUGGAAAGCUAUUCUCUCUGGGUUUGUUUACUGACCAAGAGAAAAAAAAAGGGGGUUUCCUUCUGUCUGCUCAUCAAAUAUUUGAAAGACUACUCAUUUCAGUCCUUGAAAAUGGGAUACCGUGAGCUUUGGAAGUAAGGUACGUGUUGGUGAACACUGUUGUCAUUGAACAGGAAAAAUUAAAUUAUUAGGUGAGAAGUUUCCACCUAGAGAUUAGUAACAAGUAGCCUGAACAAAUUAUUUUACCUGUAUAGAUGCUAAGACAGAUGUGUUCUUUUAAUUUAAGACCUGAGAGCAUGUUUAGAGUUGCACGUAAUGGCAAUAAUUCUAUGUUGUAGAAAUAGAGAAAUAGUUUUUAUUUUUCACUUUUGGUGAUUGCAUGGAUAGAAAUAAAUAUUCCUCUUGUCGAAUUGCAAUUGCUUAAAGAGUAACAAGGAAGCUUAGAGAGAGUAGAGUAUAAACUUGUUAACAAUUGCAUAACUUCACAUGUACAAUUUCUGAGUUAAUAAACAUAUAGUUUGUGAAAAGUUAACACUGGAUGAAGCUUUAGAAUGCUGUGCAAUUUCUUCUCAUCUGGUGAAAACGGUUUCUGUAAGCAUACAAUUUAGGGAUGUUACUAUAUCCGAGGUCUGGCAAAUGUAGUCAUCAGAUUAAAUAAAUGUAUAUGUGGACUGUGGGGGAUUGGAUCCCCAUGUUUGGAAAGUAAUUUGGUUCAAUUUGUUGCUCUUUGGAGAGAAGGUAAGUGUGUAGAUUUCAUAUUCAAAUUACAUCAGACAGUAUGACUUGUUCCUCUGUUUCUAUAGUUCCUGAAGUAUGCCUCUCUAAGUGUG
RNAcentral lists this long non-coding RNA (1311 nucleotides) under Homo sapiens (human). Its description in RNAcentral is "HSALNT0135229". The record is from RNAcentral. Lineage: Eukaryota; Metazoa; Chordata; Mammalia; Primates; Hominidae.